UACGUAGGUGGCAAGCGUUGUCCGGAUUUACUGGGCGUAAAGGGAGCGUAGGCGGACUUUUAAGUGGGAUGUGAAAUACCCGGGCCUAACCUGGGUGCUGCAUUCCAAACUGGGAGUCUAGAGUGCAGGAGGGGAAAGUGGAAUUCCUAGUGUAGCGGUGAAAUGCGUAGAGAUUAGGAAGAACACCAGUGGCGAAGGCGACUUUCUGGACUGUAACUGACGCUGAGGCUCGAAAGCGUGGGGAGCGAACAGG
RNAcentral lists this ribosomal RNA (253 nucleotides) under uncultured bacterium. RNAcentral's name for it is "partial 16S ribosomal RNA". It matches the Rfam family "Bacterial small subunit ribosomal RNA", at positions 524 to 776 of the family's 1533-position model. The record is from RNAcentral.